Molecule: ribosomal RNA, 395 nt
Filed under: uncultured bacterium
Lineage: Bacteria
Description: partial 16S ribosomal RNA
Rfam family: Bacterial small subunit ribosomal RNA
Source: RNAcentral
AUACGUAGGUGGCAAGCGUUGUCCGGAUUUACUGGGUGUAAAGGGCGUGUAGGCGGAGAUGCAAGUCAGGAGUGAAAUCUAGGGGCUCAACCCCUAAACUGCUUUUGAAACUGUAUCCCUUGAGUAUCGGAGAGGCAGGAGGAAUUCCUUGUGUAGCGGUGGAAUGCGUAGAUAUUAGGAGGAACACCAGUGGCGAAGGCGGCCUGCUGGACGACAACUGACGCUGAGGCGCGAAAGCGAGGGGAGCAAACAGGAUUAGAUACCCUGGUAGUCCACGCUGUAAACGAUGAAUACUAGGUGUGGGGGGACUGACCCCCUCCGUGCCGCAGUUAACACAAUAAGUAUUCCACCUGGGGAGUACGAUCGCAAGAUUGAAACUCAAAGGAAUUGACGGG